Molecule: ribosomal RNA, 497 nt
Filed under: uncultured bacterium
Lineage: Bacteria
Description: partial 16S ribosomal RNA
Rfam family: Bacterial small subunit ribosomal RNA
Source: RNAcentral
GAUGAACGCUGGCGGCGUGCCUAAUACAUGCAAGUCGAGCGAACGGACGAGAAGCUUGCUUCUCUGAUGUUAGCGGCGGACGGGUGAGUAACACGUGGAUAACCUACCUAUAAGACUGGGAUAACUUCGGGAAACCGGAGCUAAUACCGGAUAAUAUUUUGAACCGCAUGGUUCAAAAGUGGAAGACGGUCUUGCUGUCACUUAUAGAUGGAUCCGCGCUGCAUUAGCUAGUUGGUAAGGUAACGGCUUACCAAGGCAACGAUGCAUAGCCGACCUGAGAGGGUGAUCGGCCACACUGGAACUGAGACACGGUCCAGACUCCUACGGGAGGCAGCAGUAGGGAAUCUUCCGCAAUGGGCGAAAGCCUGACGGAGCAACGCCGCGUGAGUGAUGAAGGUCUUCGGAUCGUAAAACUCUGUUAUUGGGGAAGAACAUAUGUGUAAGUAACUGUGCACAUCUUGACGGUACCUAAUCAGAAAGCCACGGCUAACUACGUG